This is a small nucleolar RNA of Choloepus hoffmanni (Hoffmann's two-fingered sloth), 143 nucleotides long. Lineage: Eukaryota; Metazoa; Chordata; Mammalia; Pilosa; Megalonychidae. The record is from Ensembl.
AGGACAGCAGUGGGGGAAGGGGGUGGCCCUCGGCAGGGGGAGCGCACGCAGGAGGCCUGGUGGACCCACCUGCUCCUCUCUCUCCCCCCGUCUCCCUCCCUUUAUCACACACAUGCUCACUCACUCACUGAAAGAUCUUUCUU